UACGUAGGUGGCGAGCGUUGUCCGGAUUUACUGGGCGUAAAGAGCGCGCAGGCGGUCGUUCAAGUCGCGUGUGAAAGCCCCCGGCUCAACUGGGGAGGGUCACGCGAUACUGAUCGACUCGAAGGCAGGAGAGGGUAGUGGAAAUCCCGGUGUAGUGGUGAAAUGCGUAGAUAUCGGGAGGAACACCAGUGGCGAAGGCGGCAUCCUGGACCGACACUGACGCUGAGGAGCGAAAGCCAGGGGAGCAAACGGG
This 253-nucleotide ribosomal RNA is filed under the name uncultured bacterium. RNAcentral describes it as "partial 16S ribosomal RNA". It matches the Rfam family "Bacterial small subunit ribosomal RNA", at positions 524 to 776 of the family's 1533-position model. The record is from RNAcentral.